UAUUCUGCCCCAUGGGGAAGGAUGAGAAGCUUCGACUAAGGUUCGACUCGAGCGCCAGCGAGAGAACGUUGCCGCAGGCAACGGCCCGAAGGGCGCGGCGCUUUAGCGCCGAGUAAUCCUUCCCCCACCACCA
This 133-nucleotide small RNA is filed under the name Klebsiella pneumoniae. Its description in RNAcentral is "RtT sRNA". It matches the Rfam family "RtT RNA". Rfam says of the family: This family represents a bacterial cis-regulatory element known as RtT RNA. The exact function of RtT is unknown although it is thought that it may be involved in changing the cellular response in relation to amino acid starvation. The record is from RNAcentral. Lineage: Bacteria; Pseudomonadati; Pseudomonadota; Gammaproteobacteria; Enterobacterales; Enterobacteriaceae.